AUGAUAAAUUACGAUGAUAUAUAUAUAUAUAUAUAUAUAUAUAUAUUGUUCGUUCGCUCGUAUCGAGAAUUAAAGGACUCGUGAAGGAGAGUAGGAAACGGAGAGAUACAAAAAUAUCUGUGAAAUAGCUUCGAGGUGCCGUUGUGUACAAUCGUGCGAUAAAUGGAUUGUUUCUUCAUAAUAGUACUACGCGAGAACAUGAAAAUAUAUUAUCGUAUCUGUUCUAUGUUUCGCGCAAGGGAGAAAAUUUCAUUUCAUCUUUUCUGCACACGGGCAUUGUUACUGAAUAUACAAUAUUGCUAUACGAUGACAAGGGAUAAUGAUUUUCUCGAUUAGUCAUAUGCCAUGCAUUUCGUACAACUCAUGCUCCUAUAUGCAAGUCAAUAAAGAAAUCAUAUCAUAUUAGAAAGAAAUCGCACAUAUUAGAAAGACGUUACUCUUGUUUUAUUGUUUCGCACAUGGAAACAUUUCGAAUUAAUCUGCGAAUGUUAUCGCUCCGAUUGAAUAUUGUCACGUUUAGAAAAGAAUAUUUGAUAAAUGGAUUCAUCAGAUUAGAAGAUAAUUGAUUUAUGAAUUAUGAAAAACUGAUUACAUUAUAUAUAAUUAAUAUCUUUUUGUGUGUACGGAGUACACACGGGUUAUCUCGCCUAUCGAGAAAAAACAUAGAAAUGACAGAAAUUUAAAUCGAAAAUUACACAGAUAGGAUAAACUUUCUUGCAUUUACUUGUCAAAAUAUUGAUAAAGAAACUAUCGAAAAGCAUGAUAAAUUAAAUGAAGAAAUUGUUAUCCCAGGGCCGUACCGUUUUAAUCAAUUCAUAGGCCGGUAGUUCUACACGGUUGGGGAUCAUUAACGAUCGUUUUCCCCUCGUGAAAACGCAAACCUUGAUGCAGUCUCGUUGUAAGUAACUAGUCGAUGCCUGAUUUCUCGAUUUUGCGAUUGCGAAAUAUUGCGCGAGCAUAAUGUAAUCUAUUCGUUGGUCAAAAGUCGAAGACGAAACACACUCGCAAAAGACACUCUUGCGAUUCCUUUUUUCCUUUCUUCUUCCUUCCUUUCUUUUUUUUUUUUUUUCUUUUCGUCAAAUUUAUCGAUUAUCGAUUAUCUUUCUAAUGUUUUUUUAAAAAUUUAUCCGUACAAAGCGAGUUUUGCUCGUUUCUAUAUGCAAAUCAGUUAAAAAGUUACGGAUCGAUAAUCGCAUUGCCGCUCCAAAAUAAUGGCUGCAACUAAAGUAAGAGUGGCUGGAAUAACAUGGUAGAAAGAAGGUGAAACUUGAACUUUGCUUCGCGGCAAUCACGAACCGCGACUUUUUCUCUCCAAGAAAAAAAAAAAAAA
Molecule: long non-coding RNA, 1330 nt
Organism: Apis florea (little honeybee)
Lineage: Eukaryota; Metazoa; Arthropoda; Insecta; Hymenoptera; Apidae
Source: RefSeq, a predicted model, not a curated record